This is a long non-coding RNA of Monodelphis domestica (gray short-tailed opossum), 1762 nucleotides long. Lineage: Eukaryota; Metazoa; Chordata; Mammalia; Didelphimorphia; Didelphidae. The record is from Ensembl.
AAGGGCCAGGAUGAGUGAAUCACCAGGUCGUGCCAUACUUAGCUCAUCUCUUUUUUUGGCGAGAUUCGUAGCCUCUAGAUCAGGGCAAUGACCUAGGCUGGGUGUCCCUGGAGAUCAGGAAAGCUUUUGAUUUGGUGGCUUCUUCCAUUCCAUGGGCAAGGUGGAGAAAGAGGGUCUGGAUGACAAGGCAGCCCCAUGGCUUCAGGAGGAAUGACUGAGCAGACUUAGAAAGUAGUCAGGCAUGGAUAAAUGUCAGCUUCAAGUUGCUCUGUAAUGGGCCGCCCGGGGGGAUCUUGCUGUGGUCCUGUUUGACAUUCCAGCAUGGCUUGGAUAGAAGACUUAUAUUCCGACUCGCAUACCCUUGGCCAAAUCAUCCGAGUUGGCCUGGCUUCUCUGGUUCUGGUUGCUAUGGGGAUUUUGAUGGCCGAGGACUGGUACACCAAGAAAGAUACACCGAGGGAUGCAGGGGACAUCUUGUUUGAGAAGCCAAGUUAUUCAGAUAUCAAGGCCAAGCUCCGCUUCUAUUAGUAUGGCAGCUCUUAAGAAACAUGUCCACCAUCUCCUGGCAUGACAGGAACACAUGUAAGGCCUGGAAGCCAUCACUGCCUUUCUUGAUGGCAUUCUGUAACCCCUCUCCUCCUAGGUCAUAAAUAUCUCAUUGAAGCUUGAUCGUCUAAAAUCUGCCAGGCCACCUCUCCCGUCCCCAAGCCAGGGGACUUGCCUCCUUCCCAGGGCAGCCUCCGUCUUCCUGUCCCCCAGUCCCAGAUCCUCUCCCUACUUCCCAGGAAGAGCUUCUCUUGGCCAUGACUUGGCCCCCAUGAACCCAAACAGUGGCAACGACAUAGAGGUUACCAGCAAAGUGUUCAUGGGGUCUGAGUACUAUCCAGACAGAGACUCCAGACGUACCCCUGCCCGGGCUCUCUCAGACACUGCUCUGGAUCCUGCUGCCUCCUUUCCUAGGGGUCUCCAGUGGAGGCCAUGCCAGCUAAAAAACAUUAAGAAUUCUACUCUGGGGGUAAGCUAAGUGACUCAGUAGUUGGAGAGCCAGGCAGUCCUGGGUUCAAAUCCCCAUUGCCUAGCCUUUACCACUCUUCUGCCUUGGAACCAAUACACAGUAUUUACUCUAAGAUGGGAAGUAAGGGUUUAAAAAAAGUAGAAUCCACCCUGUGCCAGUCGCUGUGCUAAGUGCCAGGGCCACAAAGGCCACUGACAGGGGUUCAACCCAAGGCAAAUGAGGUGAGAGGGAGAUGAUGGUACAGCAAGGCUUAAUUGUGGGAAAGGAAAGAGAGGGAGGGUGUGGAGGUGGCAACGGAAGAAGUGGCAGGGAGGCCCAAAGCCUGUAAAGGUGGCUGUGGAAUGGGUUGGGGGAGGAGGGAGCCAGGAGUGAGGGGGAGUCCCAAACCUGUGGAUAGCUAAAGGUCUCCACCUGGAUGGAGAAGAGGGCAAUCUCGGCUAUUCUAUGGGGAAGAAAUGCCAAGUGCACCCAGAGAAGUCGACCUCAAAUAUAUAUAAAGCCAUUGGGAGAUGGAAAGCUAAUACCUGGGCAAGGCUGUGUAGGGGAGCUGGUACUUGGGCUGAGCCUUGAAGAAAACCCCAUUUAGUAAGCUUCUCCUGGGCACAAUACUGCAAGGCUUUGCAGAGUAGAAUAACAGGCCAUAGAUCAUCCUUGGAGCCUGGAAGUUCUGGGUUCAAGUCCUAUUAUGUCUAGGUCAUUCCACUUGCCCCAGACAAUAAAGACUGUACAUGACAAAGGGGUGACCCA